RNAcentral lists this long non-coding RNA (1250 nucleotides) under Felis catus (domestic cat). Its description in RNAcentral is "lncRNA (ENSFCAG00000041579.2)". The record is from RNAcentral. Lineage: Eukaryota; Metazoa; Chordata; Mammalia; Carnivora; Felidae.
AUGAACUUUUCUUCCUUUUCAGAUAGGCUAAGAACACCUCUACACCUCAUCAUGAGUCACCUAGAAAUCCUGCAAGGAACCUUCAGAUGGUACAAGGAGCUUUACUUCUCACGUACAGAAGGCCGUCCUGCCGUAACUCCGGUUAUCAGUAUCCACUUGGAAAUGAGGGACAAGGGGAGCCUUUCAAGCUCAGUCAUCUAUUGUUUCCUGGAGCUGAGCAGGGAGGAGAUCAGAAACCACUUGACGGAAGGCCAUCAAGAGCCUCAGAGGAACCAAGUAGGACCCGAAAACAGAAGACCAGGAAAACCAUCUUCAAUAAGAGCAAAGAGUUGAAAAUAGGGAAUCUAGUAAAAACGGGCGAGCGAUGGCUCUCAAACUUUUUCCACCAUGCACACAUGAUUCAGAAUGUUCCUAUGUUCUGUGCUCUCAUGGGAGUACAUACUUUCUGGCAAAUCAGCUGUGGUUUCACCUCAUUCUCAUCCACUCAAGAAAGCCUGUCAAAGUGCAAAUGAGAGCGACACUGGAUCCCCUCUCAUGUGGCCGAGUCUCUAGCAUGCAUGAGCCAGAAAACAAGAGACAGGGAAGGUCUAGAGUAUGGAUUAAGGGGAUAAUGUGCUAUCAGGGAAAUGGACAGGGGGCUUUUGUGUCUCAGCCAUUUGAGGUUGAGAGAAAAGGAAGGGGGGACGGGGGGGGCUUGAGAGAACCUCUCUGAUGAAGUUAUUCAAAGAACCGAGCCUUGAGCAGUAAAAAACAAAAUGUGUUAACGGAGAAACUUGGAUGGGGGUGAGAGUGAACACUGGGGAGCUCUGAGAAGAUGGAGAGAAUACGAGCCAAAACCCAGGCAGUGCGACAGGGAAGAAAUGGUGGGGAGACACAGAAUCUGGGAAGGAGUCCUCAGAGCAGAGAUGGGAAAGCUGUCGGCUCUGUCGGUGUUUCACUGUUGGGCAGAGAGCAGGCAUCGCCCCAAGAUCCAGGGGCCGGCCUGGGUGACCCAGGGUCCGCCCAGGUUGCGGGGUGGUCCUUAAAAGCAGUCUUUUUGUUCUUUGGUGAUAACAGACUGGUGGGUCAGAUAUACCAGUUUUUUUCCCCUCUGUCCCCUUCUGUCAAAUUAUGAAAGCUUCAUGGGCAAUGUGUGUUUUUAAGUUUUAAGCACCACUCAAUCAGAGGGGAUUUUCCACAAGGACUUACAAAAAUGCAGAUUACACUGUAAAAAUGCUUUUCAGCCAAUAAAAGUCCUGUUUUACUGAGCA